RNAcentral lists this ribosomal RNA (463 nucleotides) under uncultured bacterium. RNAcentral describes it as "bacterial SSU rRNA". It matches the Rfam family "Bacterial small subunit ribosomal RNA", at positions 29 to 524 of the family's 1533-position model. The record is from RNAcentral.
ACGAACGUUGGCGGCGUGGAUUAGGCAUGCAAGUCGUGGGAAUCCCCAGCAAUGGGGGGUAACCGGCGUAAGGGGCAGUAAUGCGUGGGUGACCUACCCUGGGGUUGGGCAUAGCCCGUAGAAAUACGGGGUAAUUCCCGACGAUGUCGCAAGACCAAAGCUCAGGCGCCCCGGGAGGGGCCCACGUGAUAUUAGCUAGUUGGUGAGGUAACGGCUCACCAAGGCAUAGAUGUCUAGCGGGUGUGAGAGCACGACCCGCGCCACUGGCACUGAGACACUGGCCAGACACCUACGGGUGGCUGCAGUCGAGGAUCUUCGGCAAUGGGCGCAAGCCUGACCGAGCGACGCCGCGUGUGCGACGAAGGCCUUCGGGUUGUAAAGCACUGUCGAGGGGGAGAAAGCGCAAGCUUGAUCUAUCCCUGGAGGAAGCACGGGCUAAGUUCGUGCCAGCCGCCGCGGUAAU